Molecule: ribosomal RNA, 433 nt
Filed under: uncultured bacterium
Lineage: Bacteria
Description: partial 16S ribosomal RNA
Rfam family: Bacterial small subunit ribosomal RNA
Source: RNAcentral
AACGAACGCUGGCGGCAUGCCUAACACAUGCAAGUCGAACGAAGGCUUCGGCCUUAGUGGCGCACGGGUGCGUAACGCGUGGGAAUCUGCCCUUGGGUUCGGAAUAACAGCGGGAAACUGCUGCUAAUACCGGAUGAUGACGUAAGUCCAAAGAUUUAUCGCCCAAGGAUGAGCCCGCGUAGGAUUAGCUAGUUGGUGGGGUAAAGGCCCACCAAGGCGACGAUCCUUAGCUGGUCUGAGAGGAUGAUCAGUCACACUGGGACUGAGACACGGCCCAGACUCCUACGGGAGGCAGCAGUGGGGAAUAUUGGACAAUGGGCGAAAGCCUGAUCCAGCAAUGCCGCGUGAGUGAUGAAGGCCUUAGGGUUGUAAAGCUCUUUUACCCGGGAUGAUAAUGACAGUACCGGGAGAAUAAGCUCCGGCUAACUCCGUG